AUUAACCGGAUUAGAUACCCUGGUAGUCCAUGCCCUAAACGAUGUCAACUAGCUGUUGGGGCCUUCGGGCCUUGGUAGCGCAGCUAACGCGUGAAGUUGACCGCCUGGGGAGUACGGUCACAAGAUUAAAACUCAAAGGAAUUGACGGGGACCCGCACAAGCGGUGGAUGAUGUGGAUUAAUUCGAUGCAACGCGAAAAACCUUACCUACCCUUGACAUGUCUGGAAUGCCGAAGAGAUUUGGCAGUGCUCGCAAGAGAACCGGAACACAGGUGCUGCAUGGCUGUCGUCAGCUCGUGUCGUGAGAUGUUGGGUUAAGUCCCGCAACGAGCGCAACCCUUGUCAUUAGUUGCUACGAAAGGGCACUCUAAUGAGACUGCCGGUGACAAACCGGAGGAAGGUGGGGAUGACGUCAAGUCCUCAUGGCCCUUAUGGGUAGGGCUUCACACGUCAUACAAUGGUCGGGACAGAGGGUCGCCAACCCGCGAGGGGGAGCCAAUCCCAGAAACCCGAUCGUAGUCCGGAUCGCAGUCUGCAACUCGACUGCGUGAAGUCGGAAUCGCUAGUAAUCGCGGAUCAGCAUGUCGCGGUGAAUACGUUCCCGGGUCUUGUACACACCGCCCGUCACACCAUGGGAGUGGGUUUUACCAGAAGUAGUUAGCCUAACCGCAAGGGGGGCGAUUACCACGGUAGGAUUCAUGACUGGGGUGAAGUCGUAACAAGGUAGCCAAU
This 731-nucleotide ribosomal RNA is filed under the name uncultured bacterium. RNAcentral describes it as "bacterial SSU rRNA". It matches the Rfam family "Bacterial small subunit ribosomal RNA", at positions 768 to 1504 of the family's 1533-position model. The record is from RNAcentral.